Molecule: ribosomal RNA, 319 nt
Filed under: uncultured eukaryote
Lineage: Eukaryota
Description: partial 18S ribosomal RNA
Rfam family: Eukaryotic small subunit ribosomal RNA
Source: RNAcentral
CCCUUAGAUGAUUUGGGCUGCACGCGCGCUACACUGACCCGAACAAUGAGCAACUGUCUGGCCUGAGAUGGCUGGGUAGCCUUUUCAACCCAUGUCAUGAUUGGGCUAGAUUUUUGUAAGUCUUGAUCUCUAACGAGGAAUCCCUAGUAUGCGUGAAUCAUCAAUCCAUGCAGAUUAUGUCCCUGCCCUUUGUACACACCACCCGUCGCUCCUACUGAUUGGGUGAUCCGGUGAGCUGUUCGGCCAUAGCAAUGUUUCUUGAGCAGGGCAAUGAAUGUUUCGCAAACCUUGCCACUUAGAGGAAGGAGAAGUCGUAACA